This 184-nucleotide non-coding RNA is filed under the name Candidatus Carsonella ruddii CE isolate Thao2000. The record is from RNAcentral. Lineage: Bacteria; Pseudomonadati; Pseudomonadota; Gammaproteobacteria; Oceanospirillales; Halomonadaceae.
GGGAGUGUUAGGUUUUGACGUUAUUAAAAAUUAAAAAAAAUUUUAUCGACAUGAAUUUAAAAAAAUAGUAAAUCAUACUAAUAAAAUUUUUAAUAUUAAAUAAUAAUUAACACUAACUAAUUAAUCAUGUAAAUUAUUUUUUUAAAAAUAACGGAUAUGAGUUCGAUUCUCAUCACUUCCACCA